RNAcentral lists this transfer RNA (73 nucleotides) under Ailuropoda melanoleuca (giant panda). It matches the Rfam family "tRNA". From Rfam's summary of the family: Transfer RNA (tRNA) molecules are approximately 80 nucleotides in length. Lineage: Eukaryota; Metazoa; Chordata; Mammalia; Carnivora; Ursidae. The record is from Rfam by way of RNAcentral.
CCCUGGGUGGCUCAGUUGGUAGAGCAUGCGACUCUCGAUCUCAAGGUUGUGAGUUCAAGCCCCACACUGGGUG